Schizosaccharomyces pombe (fission yeast) is the source of this 766-nucleotide non-coding RNA. The record is from the annotation of a GenBank genome assembly. NCBI's taxonomy places the organism in Eukaryota, Fungi, Ascomycota, Schizosaccharomycetes, Schizosaccharomycetales, Schizosaccharomycetaceae.
CAAGAUUCACAAAAGUAAGAGUGUGACGAGAGUAAAGGCUAAAGAACCGAAAACACAAAGAGAGAGAGAGUAAAAAGAAAGUGGGUAUUUUAGUAAAGAAACGAAGGUGAAAAGUUGGAUUUAACACAACAACAACGAGAGUAAGAAAGAACGGACGUGGAACCGGAUCAGAAGACCAACAAGUAGUUGAAGUAUGUAUAUAUUAAAAGAAAGACAAGAAAGUACUUAAACCACUCCGACUGACCAAGAUCCGACACUCAGAAAUUUUUUAUCCAAAAAAAAGGCGUAGUUAAUAAAAGGUAGUUGUAGUAAACAACGGGUUGUCAGGUGUUGUAUAUAAAGGAACGUCGAGGUUAGGGUUUCCUGAGAGCGUUUAUAAUUGGUUAAAAAAAAGUCAUUCAGGACAGAUUAUUCGUUAACGAAACUUUUGAUUCUAGAGAUGACGGGCUCUGAGUGGUGGAAACCAUGAGAGCAAAAGCGUACUCUAAAGUUUAAUGCAAAGUAGACAGAUUUUGAUUGGUUUAUGAUAGGAAAGUCGGAGCGAAUUGGAGGAAAGGAAGGUCAAAGUGAGCUGUUGCAAUCUGCACGGGUGUACGCUUGCGUCCAGUAAAAUUCGUAAAAGGGGUUUAAUGAGAAGGCUGCUAAUUCAACAAAGGCAAACUGACUGGUAGCGGGGAUCUUUCCUUUGUGCUCUCUUUUGGAUGGAUAUCGCUGUAUAUUUUAAAUAUAUCUAACAAUAUUAUUUUAAGGAUUUCUAGACAGUACC